AGCGAACGCUGGCGGCAGGCUUAACACAUGCAAGUCGAACGCCCCGCAAGGGGAGUGGCAGACGGGUGAGUAACACGUGGGAACGUACCCUUUGGUUCGGAAUAACUUUGGGAAACUCAAGCUAAUACCGGAUAAGCCCUUAUGGGGAAAGGUUUACUGCCGAAGGAUCGGCCCGCGUCUGAUUAGCUAGUUGGUGAGGUAAUGGCUCACCAAGGCGACGAUCAGUAGCUGGUCUGAGAGGAUGAUCACCCACGCUGGGACGGAGACACGGCCCAGACGCCUACGGGAGGCAGCAGUGGGCAAUAUUGGACAAUGGGGGCAACCCUGAUCCAGCCAGGCAGCGUGAGUGAUGAAGGCCUUAGGGUUGUAAAGCUCUUUUACCCGGGACGAUAAUGACUGUACCGGGAGAAUAAGCCCCGGCUAACUUCGUGCCAGCCGCCGCCGUAA
RNAcentral lists this ribosomal RNA (447 nucleotides) under uncultured bacterium. RNAcentral describes it as "partial 16S ribosomal RNA". It matches the Rfam family "Bacterial small subunit ribosomal RNA", at positions 29 to 523 of the family's 1533-position model. The record is from RNAcentral.